CAGUAGCCGCGGUAAUACGUAGGUGGCAAGCGUUGUCCGGAAUUAUUGGGCGUAAAGGGCUCGCAGGCAGUUUCUUAAGUCUGAUGUGAAAGCCCCCGGCUCAACCGGGGAGGGUCAUUGGAAACUGGGAAACUUGAGUGCAGAAGAGGAGAGUGGAAUUCCACGUGUAGCGGUGAAAUGCGUAGAGAUGUGGAGGAACACCAGUGGCGAAGGCGACUCUCUGGUCUGUAACUGACGCUGAGGAGCGAAAGCGUGGGGAGCGAACAGGAUUAGAUACCCCCGUAGUCCCUGUCUCUUAUAC
This 301-nucleotide ribosomal RNA is filed under the name uncultured bacterium. Its description in RNAcentral is "partial 16S ribosomal RNA". It matches the Rfam family "Bacterial small subunit ribosomal RNA", at positions 509 to 807 of the family's 1533-position model. The record is from RNAcentral.